This 305-nucleotide ribosomal RNA is filed under the name uncultured bacterium. RNAcentral's name for it is "bacterial SSU rRNA". It matches the Rfam family "Bacterial small subunit ribosomal RNA", at positions 335 to 638 of the family's 1533-position model. The record is from RNAcentral.
UUACCUACGGGGGGCAGCAGUGAGGAAUAUUGGUCAAUGGCCGGAAGGCUGAACCAGCCAAGCCGCGUGAGGGAGGAAGGCGCAGAGCGUCGCAGACCUCUCUUGCCGGGGGACAAAAGGCCGGACGGGUCCGGUUCUGAGGGUACCCGGAGAAAAAGCAUCGGCUAACUCCGUGCCAGCAGCCGCGGUAAUACGGAGGAUGCGAGCGUUAUCCGGAUUUAUUGGGUUUAAAGGGUGCGCAGGCGGUCUGUUAAGUCAGCGGUCAAAGCCCGGGGCUCAACCCCGGCCCGCCGUUGAAACUGGCG